GCGAACUCUAUGCCCAACCUGGAGUUCAACUCAUGACCCCAGGAUGAACAGCUGCAUAUUGUAUUGACUGAGCCAGGUCAACACUAAGAGGUAUUGCCUGAAGCCCCCGCCGAUACACCUAAGAAGAAAACAACAAACUGUACUUCAAAUAUUUAAUUAUUUCUUAACAGAGAGGCAACACUGUGUUAUCCGGUGAACCUUAGAAAUACUAAUUACUGGAAUUUUGUUUAAAUAAUCUACCAUUACCAUUUGGGUGGAGGUUGGAUAGAACAUGGCAAUGUUCUGAUCCCCACGUGCAGAGUCUUGAUCUUCAAAGCGCAGCAGUCCCUGCAUUCUGACCGGGUUGUGUGGGCAGGCUUUGGGUUACAGACCAUAGGGCACAGACCCAUUAGAGCAUCAAUGACAGCGUCUGACCAAAAAUGCAAUAAGACGUAGCAAAUGUGACUAGCAAACCAACUAUAUUGUUUGGAAAAUGAGAAAUAAAUGUAAGUGAGAGAAAAGCCCUGCCCUACUUGUUAAGCUGCAGUGUAAUACAGAGGCUUGCACUGCAAAGCUUGACAAACUGUAGAGGUUUAACGCACCUGCCAACAAAGAGAGAAAAUAUUAGCUACAAAUGCCACAAGAGUGACAAAUGCAAAUAAAAUACCCUAUAAAAUUGUUUGACCAUAAAUCGUAGGUACUGCCAGCCAAAAAAAAAAAAAAAAAAAAAUUUUGUUUCGUUAUUAUUUGGCUUACAGUACCUAAUGGAGAUAAUUUUAUUCAGUAAUGUACGCACCUCAUCUGAUUGUUUAAUGUUGUCAUGCCGCUUUUCAAGGUCUGCAUACUUUUUCCAGUAACCAUAGCAAUACGGAUAGUGUAUGAAAAAUUUGUCAAACGCUUUCCUGGCAGCCAUCAAGUGAUUCUGACGAAAAUAAAACAAGGUGUUUAAAAAUC
This is a long non-coding RNA of Canis lupus familiaris (dog), 933 nucleotides long. RefSeq lists it as uncharacterized. NCBI's taxonomy places the organism in Eukaryota, Metazoa, Chordata, Mammalia, Carnivora, Canidae. The record is from RefSeq and is a predicted model, not a curated record. The transcript is spliced from 2 exons.